RNAcentral lists this ribosomal RNA (1554 nucleotides) under Lactiplantibacillus pentosus. RNAcentral describes it as "Lactobacillus pentosus 16S ribosomal RNA". It matches the Rfam family "Bacterial small subunit ribosomal RNA". The record is from RNAcentral. Lineage: Bacteria; Bacillati; Bacillota; Bacilli; Lactobacillales; Lactobacillaceae.
AGAGUUUGAUCAUGGCUCAGGACGAACGCUGGCGGCGUGCCUAAUACAUGCAAGUCGAACGAACUCUGGUAUUGAUUGGUGCUUGCAUCAUGAUUUACAUUUGAGUGAGUGGCGAACUGGUGAGUAACACGUGGGAAACCUGCCCAGAAGCGGGGGAUAACACCUGGAAACAGAUGCUAAUACCGCAUAACAACUUGGACCGCAUGGUCCGAGUUUGAAAGAUGGCUUCGGCUAUCACUUUUGGAUGGUCCCGCGGCGUAUUAGCUAGAUGGUGGGGUAACGGCUCACCAUGGCAAUGAUACGUAGCCGACCUGAGAGGGUAAUCGGCCACAUUGGGACUGAGACACGGCCCAAACUCCUACGGGAGGCAGCAGUAGGGAAUCUUCCACAAUGGACGAAAGUCUGAUGGAGCAACGCCGCGUGAGUGAAGAAGGGUUUCGGCUCGUAAAACUCUGUUGUUAAAGAAGAACAUAUCUGAGAGUAACUGUUCAGGUAUUGACGGUAUUUAACCAGAAAGCCACGGCUAACUACGUGCCAGCAGCCGCGGUAAUACGUAGGUGGCAAGCGUUGUCCGGAUUUAUUGGGCGUAAAGCGAGCGCAGGCGGUUUUUUAAGUCUGAUGUGAAAGCCUUCGGCUCAACCGAAGAAGUGCAUCGGAAACUGGGAAACUUGAGUGCAGAAGAGGACAGUGGAACUCCAUGUGUAGCGGUGAAAUGCGUAGAUAUAUGGAAGAACACCAGUGGCGAAGGCGGCUGUCUGGUCUGUAACUGACGCUGAGGCUCGAAAGUAUGGGUAGCAAACAGGAUUAGAUACCCUGGUAGUCCAUACCGUAAACGAUGAAUGCUAAGUGUUGGAGGGUUUCCGCCCUUCAGUGCUGCAGCUAACGCAUUAAGCAUUCCGCCUGGGGAGUACGGCCGCAAGGCUGAAACUCAAAGGAAUUGACGGGGGCCCGCACAAGCGGUGGAGCAUGUGGUUUAAUUCGAAGCUACGCGAAGAACCUUACCAGGUCUUGACAUACUAUGCAAAUCUAAGAGAUUAGACGUUCCCUUCGGGGACAUGGAUACAGGUGGUGCAUGGUUGUCGUCAGCUCGUGUCGUGAGAUGUUGGGUUAAGUCCCGCAACGAGCGCAACCCUUAUUAUCAGUUGCCAGCAUUAAGUUGGGCACUCUGGUGAGACUGCCGGUGACAAACCGGAGGAAGGUGGGGAUGACGUCAAAUCAUCAUGCCCCUUAUGACCUGGGCUACACACGUGCUACAAUGGAUGGUACAACGAGUUGCGAACUCGCGAGAGUAAGCUAAUCUCUUAAAGCCAUUCUCAGUUCGGAUUGUAGGCUGCAACUCGCCUACAUGAAGUCGGAAUCGCUAGUAAUCGCGGAUCAGCAUGCCGCGGUGAAUACGUUCCCGGGCCUUGUACACACCGCCCGUCACACCAUGAGAGUUUGUAACACCCAAAGUCGGUGGGGUAACCUUUUAGGAACCAGCCGCCUAAGGUGGGACAGAUGAUUAGGGUGAAGUCGUAACAAGGUAGCCGUAGGAGAACCUGCGGUUGGAUCACC